AAAUUGAAGAGUUUGAUCAUGGCUCAGAUUGAACGCUGGCGGCAGGCCUAACACAUGCAAGUCGAACGGUAACAGGAAGCAGCUUGCUGCUUUGCUGACGAGUGGCGGACGGGUGAGUAAUGUCUGGGAAACUGCCUGAUGGAGGGGGAUAACUACUGGAAACGGUAGCUAAUACCGCAUAAUGUCGCAAGACCAAAGAGGGGGACCUUCGGGCCUCUUGCCAUCGGAUGUGCCCAGAUGGGAUUAGCUAGUAGGUGGGGUAACGGCUCACCUAGGCGACGAUCCCUAGCUGGUCUGAGAGGAUGACCAGCCACACUGGAACUGAGACACGGUCCAGACUCCUACGGGAGGCAGCAGUGGGGAAUAUUGCACAAUGGGCGCAAGCCUGAUGCAGCCAUGCCGCGUGUAUGAAGAAGGCCUUCGGGUUGUAAAGUACUUUCAGCGGGGAGGAAGGGAGUAAAGUUAAUACCUUUGCUCAUUGACGUUACCCGCAGAAGAAGCACC
This 504-nucleotide ribosomal RNA is filed under the name Escherichia coli. RNAcentral describes it as "bacterial SSU rRNA". It matches the Rfam family "Bacterial small subunit ribosomal RNA", at positions 1 to 494 of the family's 1533-position model. The record is from RNAcentral. Lineage: Bacteria; Pseudomonadati; Pseudomonadota; Gammaproteobacteria; Enterobacterales; Enterobacteriaceae.